Molecule: ribosomal RNA, 253 nt
Filed under: uncultured bacterium
Lineage: Bacteria
Description: partial 16S ribosomal RNA
Rfam family: Bacterial small subunit ribosomal RNA
Source: RNAcentral
UACGGAGGGUGCAAGCGUUGUCCGGAUUUAUUGGGUUUAAAGGGAGCGUAGGCGGCCUUGUAAGUCAGUGGUGAAAUCCAGCAGCUUAACUGUUGAACUGCCAUUGAUACUGCGAGGCUUGAGUACUGAUGAGGUAGGCGGAAUUGAUAGUGUAGCGGUGAAAUGCAUAGAUAUUAUCAAGAACACCGAUUGCGAAGGCAGCUUACUAAGGAGUAACUGACGCUGAGGCUCGAAAGCGUGGGGAUCGAACAGG